CAAAGAAUAGUUUAGCUUAGAACGCUGGCUUUGGGAGCCAGGGGUGGGAGUUAAAAUCUCCCUUCUUUGA
Molecule: transfer RNA, 70 nt
Filed under: Schismatogobius marmoratus
Lineage: Eukaryota; Metazoa; Chordata; Actinopteri; Gobiiformes; Gobiidae
Description: tRNA-Pro
Rfam family: tRNA
About the family: Transfer RNA (tRNA) molecules are approximately 80 nucleotides in length. Their secondary structure includes four short double-helical elements and three loops (D, anti-codon, and T loops). Further hydrogen bonds mediate the characteristic L-shaped molecular structure. tRNAs have two regions of fundamental functional importance: the anti-codon, which is responsible for specific mRNA codon recognition, and the 3' end, to which the tRNAs corresponding amino acid is attached (by aminoacyl-tRNA synthetases). tRNAs cope with the degeneracy of the genetic code in two manners: having more than one tRNA (with a specific anti-codon) for a particular amino acid; and 'wobble' base-pairing, i.e. permitting non-standard base-pairing at the 3rd anti-codon position.
Source: RNAcentral